RNAcentral lists this ribosomal RNA (2364 nucleotides) under human gut metagenome. RNAcentral describes it as "bacterial LSU rRNA". It matches the Rfam family "Bacterial large subunit ribosomal RNA", at positions 3 to 2040 of the family's 2925-position model. The record is from RNAcentral.
UCAAGCUACAAAGAGCGCAAGGGGAAUGCCUUGGCACUGGGAGCCGACGAAGGACGUAGCGAUCUACGAUAAGCCACGGUGAGCCGAAAGCAGGCAUCGACCCGUGGAUUUCCGAAUGGGGCAACCCGACUGAAUAGAACUCAGUCAACAUACGGUGAAUAAAAUAGUCGUAUGUAGGGAACCGCCUGAACUGAAACAUCUAAGUAGGGCGAGGAAAAGAAAUCAACCGAGAUUCCGCAAGUAGUGGCGAGCGAACGCGGAAGAGGCCAAACCGAGAGUAGUAAUACUUUCGGGGUUUGGACAGCAUAAGGUAUGCUAAAGGUUAGCAGAAGGACAUGGGACGGUCCACCACAGAGAGUGAUAGUCUCGUAUGCGAAAACCUAAAGCAGCCGGCUGGAUCCAGAGUACCGCCGGACACGUGAAACCCGGUGGGAAUACGGGGGGACCAUCCUCCAAGCCUAAAUACUACCCAGUGACCGAUAGCGUAUAGUACUGUGAAGGAAAGGUGAAAAGAACCCCGGGAGGGGAGUGAAAAGAACCUGAAACCUUGUGCUUACAAGCACACAAAGCACGUCAAAGUGUGAUGUGGUACCUUUUGUAGAAUGGUCCGGCGAGUGAAUGUAACUGGCGAGGUUAAGUUCUUAAGGAACGGAGCCGAAGCGAAAGCGAGUCUGAACAGGGCGAUUCAGUCAGUUGUAUUCGACCCGAAACCGGGUGACCUAUCCAUGUCCAGGAUGAAGUUAAGGUAAAACUUGAUGGAGGUCCGAACCCACGGUCGUUGAAAUGCCCGGGGAUGAGAUGUGGAUAGCGGAGAAAUUCCAAUCGAACCCGGAUAUAGCUGGUUCUCUCCGAAAUAGCUUUAGGGCUAGCCUCGACUGAACAUUACCGGAGGUAGAGCGCUGAAUGGGCUAGGGGCCGAGAGGUUACUGAACCCUAUCAAACUUCAAAUGCCGGAAAAUGAUAGUCGGGAGUCAGACUGCGUGAGAUAAGUUUCGUAGUCGAAAGGGAAACAGCCCAGACCCACAGCUAAGGUCCCAAAGUACGGUUAAGUGGAAAAGGAUGUGGAGUUGCACAGACAACCAGGAUGUUGGCUUAGAAGCAGCCACUCAUUAAAAGAGUGCGUAAUAGCUCACUGGUCGAGUGACUCUGCGCCGAAAAUUUAACGGGGCUAAAUCGUACACCGAAGCUUGGGAUGUUAGGUGUUAGACAGUAGGAGUUAGGAGAAAAGGCGAUGGGAGAAUAUCGAGAGCUAAAAAUAUAUGAGAAGUCAUAUAAAGCAGCAUUGGCGAUAUAUAGAAUGACAGAAACUUUUCCUAAGGAAGAGAAGUAUGGAAUAAUAAGCCAAAUGAGGCGAGCAUCAAUAUCGAUAGCAUUGAAUAUAGCGGAAGGAAAUGCAAAGCGCGAAAGCAAGCAGGAAUUCAAAAGGUUUUUGCAAAUGUCAAUGGGCUCAGCAAAUGAAAUGAGCGUGUUGAUAGAUUUUGCAAAAGACCUGGGCUAUAUUGAUAAAACAACCCAUGAACGAGCAAGUCAGGAAUAUGAAGAAAUCGGGAAAAUGAUACGAGGCUUCAUAAAAGGACUGGAAUAACAAAAGCCUAAUCCCUAAUACCUAGUGCCUAAUACCUAACAUGGUAGGAGAGCGUUGAAUGCGGGGUGAAGUCAGAGCGAAAGCGCUGGUGGACUGCAUUGAAGUGAGAAUGCCGGAAUGAGUAGCGAGAUUUAUGUGAGAAUCAUAAAGGCCGAAAGACUAAGGUUUCAGAAGGAAGGUUCGUCCGCUUCUGGUUAGCCGGGAGCUAAGGUGAGGCCGAAAGGCGUAGCCGAUGCACAUACGGUGGAGAUUCCGUAGCCGUCAAAAUAUUUAAGCAAAGGGACACUUAUGAAGGGCAUGACCCGGGCGAUGGUAGCCCCGGGCGUAAGGGACCGAAAAUAAGUAGGGAAGCAUGUUUGGAAUAAGGCGAGAAAAGCUUUGUGGAUAUAUGAGACGUCCGUACCGCAAACCGACACAGGUAGUCAGGAAGAGGAUUCUAAGGCCAACGGGAGAAGGGUAGUUAAGGAACUCGGCAAAUUGACCCCGUAACUUCGGAAUAAGGGGCGGUGCGUAAGCACCCGCAGUGAAUAGGUCCAGGCGACUGUUUAUCAAAAACACAGCUCUCUGCUAAAUCGAAAGAUGACGUAUAGGGGGUGACACCUGCCCGGUGCUGGAAGGUUAAGAGGAGGGGUGCAAGCUCCGAAUUGAAGCCCCAGUAAACGGCGGCCGUAACUAUAACGGUCCUAAGGUAGCGACAUUCCUUGUCGGGUAAGUUCCGACCUGCACGACUGGUGUAAUGACAUCUCCGACGCGAGUUUCAGCCGCUGCGCCUCGCCGCC